AUGAACGCUGGCGGCGUGCCUAAUACCUGCCAGUCGAGCGAACAGACGAGGAGCUUGCUCCUCUGACGUUAGCGGCGGACGGGUGAGUAACACGUGGAUAACCUACCUAUAAGACUGGGAUAACUUCGGGAAACCGGAGCUAAUACCGGAUAAUAUAUUGAACCGCCUGGUUCAAUAGUGAAAGACGGUUUUGCUGUUACUUAUAGAUGGAUCCGCGCCGCAUUAGCUAGUUGGUAAGGUAACGGCUUACCAAGGCAACGAUGCGUAGCCGACCUGAGAGGGUGAUCGGCCACACUGGAACUGAGACACGGUCCAGACUCCUACGGGAGGCAGCAGUAGGGAAUCUUCCGCAAUGGGCGAAAGCCUGACGGAGCAACGCCGCGUGAGUGAUGAAGGUCUUCGGAUCGUAAAACUCUGUUAUUAGGGAAGAACAAAUGUGUAAGUAACUAUGCACGUCUUGACGGUACCUAAUCAGAAAGCCACGGCUAACUACGUG
RNAcentral lists this ribosomal RNA (496 nucleotides) under uncultured bacterium. RNAcentral's name for it is "partial 16S ribosomal RNA". It matches the Rfam family "Bacterial small subunit ribosomal RNA", at positions 29 to 507 of the family's 1533-position model. The record is from RNAcentral.